GCCGCUAUCGUCUAAUGGUUAGGACGCCAGGUUUUCAUCCUGGUAAUCCGGGUUCGAUUCCCGGUAGCGGUA
Molecule: transfer RNA, 72 nt
Filed under: Patescibacteria group bacterium
Lineage: Bacteria
Description: tRNA-Glu
Rfam family: tRNA
About the family: Transfer RNA (tRNA) molecules are approximately 80 nucleotides in length. Their secondary structure includes four short double-helical elements and three loops (D, anti-codon, and T loops).
Source: RNAcentral